CAGCACCUCAAGUGGUCAGGAUGAUUAUUGGGCCUAAAGCAUCCGUAGCCGGCGCUGUAAGUUUUCGGUUAAAUCUGUACUCUCAACGUACAGGCUGCCGGGAAUACUGCAGCGCUAGGGAGUGGGAGAGGUAGACGGUACUCGGUAGGAAGGGGUAAAAUCCUUUGAUCUAUUGAUGACCACCUGUGGCGAAGGCGGUCUACCAGAACACGUCCGACGGUGAGGGAUGAAAGCUGGGGGAGCAAACCGGAUUAGAGACCCGAGUAGUCC
Molecule: ribosomal RNA, 270 nt
Filed under: uncultured archaeon
Lineage: Archaea
Description: partial 16S ribosomal RNA
Rfam family: Archaeal small subunit ribosomal RNA
Source: RNAcentral